GAGCGAGAAAGGGGAGCAAUCCCUGAGUAAAGCGGCGUACGGGUGAGUAACACGUGGGUAAUCUACCUUUUAGUGGGGAAUAACUUUGGGAAACCGAAGCUAAUACCGCAUAAUCCUGUGAAGGGAAAGCAGCAAUGCGCUGAAAGAGGAGCCCGCGGCCGAUUAGCUAGUUGGUGAGGUAACGGCUCACCAAGGCGAUGAUCGGUAGCCGGCCUGAGAGGGCACACGGCCACACUGGCACUGAAACACGGGCCAGACUCCUACGGGAGGCAGCAGUGGGGAAUCUUGCACAAUGGAGGCAACUCUGAUGCAGCGACGCCGCGUGAGCGAUGAAGCCCUUCGGGGUGUAAAGCUCUUUCGGCAGGGACGAUAAUGACGGUACCUGAAGAAGAAGCUGCGGCUAACUACGUGCCAGCAGCCGCGGUAAUACGUAGGCAGCGAGCGUUGUUCGGAAUUACUGGGCGUAAAGAGUGUGUAGGCGGUGCUCUAAGUUCGGUGUGAAAUCUCCUGGCUUANCUGGGGAGGGUGCGCCGAAAACUGGAAUGCUCGAACGUUGGGAGAGNAAAGCGGANUUCCUGGUGUAGCGGU
RNAcentral lists this ribosomal RNA (588 nucleotides) under uncultured bacterium. Its description in RNAcentral is "bacterial SSU rRNA". It matches the Rfam family "Bacterial small subunit ribosomal RNA", at positions 64 to 682 of the family's 1533-position model. The record is from RNAcentral.